GAUGAACGCUGGCGGCGUGCUUAACACAUGCAAGUCGAACGGUGAAGCCAAGCUUGCUUGGUGGAUCAGUGGCGAACGGGUGAGUAACACGUGAGCAACCUGCCCUGGACUCUGGGAUAAGCGCUGGAAACGGUGUCUAAUACUGGAUAUGAGACGUGAUCGCAUGGUCGUGUUUGGAAAGAUUUUUCGGUCUGGGAUGGGCUCGCGGCCUAUCAGCUUGUUGGUGAGGUAAUGGCUCACCAAGGCGUCGACGGGUAGCCGGCCUGAGAGGGUGACCGGCCACACUGGGACUGAGACACGGCCCAGACUCCUACGGGAGGCAGCAGUGGGGAAUAUUGCACAAUGGGCGAAAGCCUGAUGCAGCAACGCCGCGUGAGGGAUGACGGCCUUCGGGUUGUAAACCUCUUUUAGCAGGGAAGAAGCGAAAGUGACGGUACCUGCAGAAAAAGCGCCGGCUAACUACGUGCCAGCAGCCGCGGUAAUACGUAGGGCGCAAGCGUUAUCCGGAAUUAUUGGGCGUAAAGAGCUCGUAGGCGGUUUGUCGCGUCUGCUGUGAAAUCCCGAGGCUCAACCUCGGGCCUGCAGUGGGUACGGGCAGACUAGAGUGCGGUAGGGGAGAUUGGAAUUCCUGGUGUAGCGGUGGAAUGCGCAGAUAUCAGGAGGAACACCGAUGGCGAAGGCAGAUCUCUGGGCCGUAACUGACGCUGAGGAGCGAAAGGGUGGGGAGCAAACAGGCUUAGAUACCCUGGUAGUCCACCCCGUAAACGUUGGGAACUAGUUGUGGGGACCAUUCCACGGUUUCCGUGACGCAGCUAACGCAUUAAGUUCCCCGCCUGGGGAGUACGGCCGCAAGGCUAAAACUCAAAGGAAUUGACGGGGACCCGCACAAGCGGCGGAGCAUGCGGAUUAAUUCGAUGCAACGCGAAGAACCUUACCAAGGCUUGACAUAUACGAGAACGGGCCAGAAAUGGUCAACUCUUUGGACACUCGUAAACAGGUGGUGCAUGGUUGUCGUCAGCUCGUGUCGUGAGAUGUUGGGUUAAGUCCCGCAACGAGCGCAACCCUCGUUCUAUGUUGCCAGCACGUAAUGGUGGGAACUCAUGGGAUACUGCCGGGGUCAACUCGGAGGAAGGUGGGGAUGACGUCAAAUCAUCAUGCCCCUUAUGUCUUGGGCUUCACGCAUGCUACAAUGGCCGGUACAAAGGGCUGCAAUACCGUGAGGUGGAGCGAAUCCCAAAAAGCCGGUCCCAGUUCGGAUUGAGGUCUGCAACUCGACCUCAUGAAGUCGGAGUCGCUAGUAAUCGCAGAUCAGCAACGCUGCGGUGAAUACGUUCCCGGGUCU
This 1342-nucleotide ribosomal RNA is filed under the name uncultured bacterium. RNAcentral describes it as "bacterial SSU rRNA". It matches the Rfam family "Bacterial small subunit ribosomal RNA", at positions 28 to 1381 of the family's 1533-position model. The record is from RNAcentral.